UCAGGAUGAACGCUGGCGGCGUGCCUAACACAUGCAAGUCGAGCGGAGAUAAGAAGAGACUCUUCGGAUGAUCUUUUAUCUUAGCGGCGGAUGGGUGAGUAACACGUGGGUAACCUGCCCUGCACAGGGGGAUAACAGCUGGAAACGGCUGUUAAUACCGCAUAUGCACACGGUGCCGCAUGGCACUGGGUGGAAAGAUUUAUCGGUGCAGGAUGGGCCCGCGUCGGAUUAACUGGUUGGCAGGGUAACGGCCUACCAAGGUGAUGAUCCGUAGCCGACCUGAGAGGGUGACCGGCCACAUUGGGACUGAGACACGGCCCAAACUCCUACGGGAGGCAGCAGUGGGGGAUAUUGCACAAUGGGCGGAAGCCCUGAUGCAGCGACGCCGCGUGAAGGAAGAAGUAUUUCGGUAUGUAAACUUCUAUCAGCGGGGAAGAAGAUGACGGUACCCGACCAAGAAGCCCCGGCUAACUACGUGCCAGCCGCGGC
This 489-nucleotide ribosomal RNA is filed under the name uncultured bacterium. RNAcentral describes it as "bacterial SSU rRNA". It matches the Rfam family "Bacterial small subunit ribosomal RNA", at positions 24 to 518 of the family's 1533-position model. The record is from RNAcentral.